UGCGGUGUGGAGCAGCCCGGUAGCUCGCCAGGCUCAUAACCUGGAGGUCACAGGUUCAAAUCCUGUCGCCGCAA
RNAcentral lists this transfer RNA (74 nucleotides) under Pseudomonadota bacterium. RNAcentral's name for it is "tRNA-Met". It matches the Rfam family "tRNA". Rfam says of the family: Transfer RNA (tRNA) molecules are approximately 80 nucleotides in length. Their secondary structure includes four short double-helical elements and three loops (D, anti-codon, and T loops). Further hydrogen bonds mediate the characteristic L-shaped molecular structure. tRNAs have two regions of fundamental functional importance: the anti-codon, which is responsible for specific mRNA codon recognition, and the 3' end, to which the tRNAs corresponding amino acid is attached (by aminoacyl-tRNA synthetases). tRNAs cope with the degeneracy of the genetic code in two manners: having more than one tRNA (with a specific anti-codon) for a particular amino acid; and 'wobble' base-pairing, i.e. permitting non-standard base-pairing at the 3rd anti-codon position. Lineage: Bacteria; Pseudomonadati; Pseudomonadota. RNAcentral also lists the same sequence under 2 other names. The record is from RNAcentral.